AUAACUUUCAGAUAAAUCGAGAAAGAAUCAAAAUGUCUGAAGAUAAAUUAGAACAGAAUCCUGCUACAGAUAAAGCAGAGAGUGAGGGGCUCAUGCAGGAUCCUAAAAACGUCCAGGAAUUGACAGGAUACAUUCAAAACAUGCUCCAACAGAUGCAGGAAAGAUUCCAAAUGAUGUCGGAUCAGAUCAUCACUCGUAUUGACGAUAUGGGAUCAAGGAUCGACGAUCUUGAGCACAACAUUAACGAUCUCAUGUCACAAGCGGGGAACGCAAGCAAUCCUGCAUUAACCCAAGAAAAGGAAUCCAAAUAGUUUAAAUUUAAAAACAAUUGAUUGAUAUCGGUUUUAUAUUUUUAAAAAAAACCUGUUUUUCAAUCACUAUUUAAUCAUAUGGUUAUUUAGGCUUUUGAAGGCUUGAAUUUUCCAUUUUAUAAUGUUUAAGAUUUCCCAGAUAUUUAAAAAAGCCCAGUUGAAGAGCUAAUUCUGAUUGAGGCUACUUUGAAUAAAUAAAAUUGAUUUUGAACAUGUUUCGUAUUUAAAUCUAAUUUAUUUCCAAAUUGUGUUUCGAAUUGCUUUUCAUCUUUCUGUACACUGCCUGCCUUAUUUUUUCGAGUAGAUUUCUUGAUUUGAAUUGUUUGAUUUGAAGAAAUGUUUCUAUUAUCUUACUUAUAUAUUAAUUCUCACAUUGCCCCAGAAAGUGUGUUCUUCAGCAUAUCCUAGUUGUUUCA
Molecule: unclassified non-coding RNA, 727 nt
Filed under: Eurytemora carolleeae
Lineage: Eukaryota; Metazoa; Arthropoda; Copepoda; Calanoida; Temoridae
Description: heat shock factor-binding protein 1
Source: RNAcentral